Molecule: unclassified non-coding RNA, 155 nt
Filed under: uncultured fungus
Lineage: Eukaryota; Fungi
Description: sequence contains ITS1
Source: RNAcentral
UUGAUUUAUUCAAGACGUCAAUCAGAGUACGACAGAGAUGGACGAGAGCCAGUGGCUUCCGGCGGGGCUAGCCGUCGAAAAACGCAUGUAUGUUCGCUGGGGUUUAGCAGGGUGCUAGUUCUGUAAUGAUCCCUCCGCUGGUUCACCAACGGAGA